This 216-nucleotide unclassified non-coding RNA is filed under the name soil metagenome. RNAcentral describes it as "partial contains 5.8S ribosomal RNA, internal transcribed spacer 2, and large subunit ribosomal RNA". The record is from RNAcentral.
AACCAUUCUCACCUGCGGCUAGACCUGCGGAAGGAUCAUUACAAGUGACCCCGGUCUAACCACCGGGAUGUUCAUAACCCUUUGUUGUCCGACUCUGUUGCCUCCGGGGCGACCCUGCCUUCGGGCGGGGGCUCCGGGUGGACACUUCAAACUCUUGCGUAACUUUGCAGUCUGAGUAAACUUAAUUAAUAAAUUAAAACUUUUAACAAUGGAUCU